CAUCUACGGAGAGUUUGAUCCUGGCUCAGGACGAACGCUGGCGGCGUGCUUAACACAUGCAAGUCGAACGAUGAAGCCAGCUUGCUGGUGGAUUAGUGGCGAACGGGUGAGUAACACGUGGGCAACCUGCCCCCGGCUCUGGGAUAACUCCAAGAAAUUGGUGCUAAUACCGGAUAUUCACGCUUCCUCGCAUGGGGUUGUGUGGAAAGUUUUUCGGCUGGGGAUGGGCCCGCGGCCUA
This is a ribosomal RNA of 239 nucleotides. It matches the Rfam family "Bacterial small subunit ribosomal RNA", at positions 1 to 240 of the family's 1533-position model.